RNAcentral lists this ribosomal RNA (500 nucleotides) under uncultured Glomeromycotina. RNAcentral's name for it is "partial small subunit ribosomal RNA". It matches the Rfam family "Eukaryotic small subunit ribosomal RNA", at positions 591 to 1092 of the family's 1831-position model. The record is from RNAcentral. Lineage: Eukaryota; Fungi; Glomeromycota.
CCAAUAGCGUAUAUUAAUGUUGUUGCAGUUAAAAAGCUCGGAGUUGAAUUUCGGGAUCAGUACGCUGGUCGUGCCUUCGGUAUGUACUGGUGUUACUGGUUCCUACCUUCUUACGAACCGUCAUGUCAUUAAUUUGGUGUGGCGGGGAAUCAGGACUGGUACUUUGAAAACAUUAGAGUGUUUAAAGCAGGCUCGCGCUUGAAUACAAUAGCAUGGAAUAAUGAAAUAUGAGGUUCGAUCCUAUUUUGUUGGUUUCUAGGAUUGACGUAAUGAUUAAUAGGGAUAGUUGGGGGCAUUAGUAUUCAAUUGUCAGAGGUGAAAUUCUUGGAUUUAUUGAAGACUAACUACUGCGAAAGCAUUUGCCAAGGAUGUUUUCAUUAAUCAAGAACGAAAGUUAGGGGAUCGAAGACGAUCAGAUACCGUCGUAGUCUUAACCAUAAACUAUGCCGACUAGGGAUCGGAUGAUGUUAAUUUUUUAAUGACUCAUUCGGCGCCUUACG